UACGUAGGGUGCGGGCGUUAAUCGGAAUUACUGGGCGUAAAGCGUGCGCAGGCGGUUCGUUGUGUCCGAUGUGAAAGCCCCGAGCUCAACUUGGGAAUGGCAUUGGAAACUGGCGAGCUGGAGUGUGGCAGAGGGGGGUGGAAUUCCACGUGUAGCAGUGAAAUGCGUAGAGAUGUGGAGGAACACCGAUGGCGAAGGCAGCCCCCUGGGCCAACACUGACGCUCAGGCACGAAAGCGUGGGGAGCAAACAGG
RNAcentral lists this ribosomal RNA (253 nucleotides) under uncultured bacterium. Its description in RNAcentral is "partial 16S ribosomal RNA". It matches the Rfam family "Bacterial small subunit ribosomal RNA", at positions 524 to 776 of the family's 1533-position model. The record is from RNAcentral.